CGGGGCUAAUACCGAAUGUGGUGUUCCGGCGCAUGCCGGAUUUUCUAAAGGUGCCACGGUUUUCCGUGGUGCCGCUUCAAGAGGAGCCCGCGUCCCAUCAGCUUGUUGGUAGGGUAACGGCCUACCAAGGCUUACGGGUAGCCGGCCUGAGAGGGUGAUCGGCCACACUGGGACUGAGACACUGCCCAGACUCCUACGGGAGGCUGCAGUCGAGGAUCAUUCACAAUGCGCGAAAGCGUGAUGAUGCGACGCUGCGUGGAGGAUGACGGCCUUCGGGUUGUAAACUCCUGUCAUGUGGGAAAAACGGUCCCGGGUUGAUAAUGCCCGGGAUGUGAUGGUACCGCAAGAGGAAGCCACGGCUAACUCUGUGCCAGCAGCCGCGGUAAUACAGAGGUGGCGAGCGUUGUUCGGAUUUACUGGGCGUAAAGGUGCGUAGGUGGUUUCGUAUGUCGGAUGUGAAAGCCCGGCGCUUAACGCCGGAACUGCAUUCGAAACUGCGGAACUCGAGUACAGGAUGGGAGAGCGGAAUUCUUGGUGUAGCGGUGAAAUGCGUUGAUAUCAAGAGGAACACCGGUGGCGAAGGCGGCUCUCUGGAAUGUUACUGACACUGAGGCACGAAAGCUGGGGGAGCAAACAGGAUUAGAUACCCUGGUAGUCCCAGCCGUAAACGGUGUGCACUUGGUGUGGGCGGUAUUGACCCCGCCCGUGCCGGAGCUAACGCGUUAAGUGCACCGCCUGGGGAGUACGGCCGCAAGGUUAAAACUCAAAGAAAUUGACGGGGGCCCGCACAAGCGGAGGAGCAUGUGGCUUAAUUCGAUGCAACGCGAAGAACCUUACCAGGGCUUGACAUCGGAGAGGCUUGCCUCUAAUGCGUGAAAGCGCAUGUACCAGACAGGUGCUGCAUGGCUGUCGUCAGUUCGUGCCGUGAGGUGUUGGGUUAAGUCCCGCAACGAACGCAACCCUUGUGCCUAGUUGCCACCGCAGGUGAUAAGCCUGCGAGCACUCUAGGCAGACUGCCUGUACAAACGGGAGGAAGGUGGGGACGACGUCAAGUCCGUAUGGCCCUUACGCCCUGGGCUGCACACGUGCUACAAUGGUCGGCACAGAAGGAUGCGAUACCGCAAGGUGGAGCAAAUCCCCAAAGCCGGCCCCAGUUCGGAUUGGAGUCUGCAACUCGACUCCAUGAAGUCGGAUUCGCUAGUAAUGGCGCAUCAGCUACGGCGCCGUGAAUACGUUCCCGGGCCUUGUACACACCGCCCGUCACAUCAUGAAAGCCGUCUGCACCCGAAGUUGCCGAGCCAACCCUCACGGGAGGCAGGUACCGAAGGUGUGGGUGGUGAUUGGGAUGAAGUCGUAACAAGGUA
This 1364-nucleotide ribosomal RNA is filed under the name metagenome. RNAcentral's name for it is "bacterial SSU rRNA". It matches the Rfam family "Bacterial small subunit ribosomal RNA", at positions 158 to 1498 of the family's 1533-position model. The record is from RNAcentral.